This 722-nucleotide ribosomal RNA is filed under the name Lutibacter sp. RNAcentral describes it as "bacterial SSU rRNA". It matches the Rfam family "Bacterial small subunit ribosomal RNA", at positions 23 to 742 of the family's 1533-position model. The record is from RNAcentral. Lineage: Bacteria; Pseudomonadati; Bacteroidota; Flavobacteriia; Flavobacteriales; Flavobacteriaceae.
CUCAGGAUGAACGCUAGCGGCAGGCUUAACACAUGCAAGUCGAGGGGUAACAGGGUGCUUGCACCGCUGACGACCGGCGCACGGGUGCGUAACGCGUAUAGAACCUACCUUUUACAGGAGAAUACCCCAGAGAAAUUUGGAAUAAUGCUCCAUAGUAUUAUUGAAUGGCAUCAUUUGAUAAUUAAACAUUUAUGGGUAAAAGAUGGCUAUGCGUUCUAUUAGCUAGAUGGUAAGGUAACGGCUUACCAUGGCAACGAUAGAUAGGGGUCCUGAGAGGGAGAUCCCCCACACUGGUACUGAGACACGGACCAGACUCCUACGGGAGGCAGCAGUGAGGAAUAUUGGACAAUGGAGGCAACUCUGAUCCAGCCAUGCCGCGUGCAGGAAGACGGUCCUAUGGAUUGUAAACUGCUUUUAUACAGGAAGAAACACUCCCUCGUGAGGGAGCUUGACGGUACUGUAUGAAUAAGCACCGGCUAACUCCGUGCCAGCAGCCGCGGUAAUACGGAGGGUGCAAGCGUUAUCCGGAAUCAUUGGGUUUAAAGGGUCCGUAGGCGGGCUAAUAAGUCAGGGGUGAAAUCCAACAGCUUAACUGUUGAAUUGCCUUUGAUACUGUUAGUCUUGAGUUAUAUGGAAGUAGAUAGAAUGUGUAGUGUAGCGGUGAAAUGCUUAGAGAUUACACAGAAUACCGAUUGCGAAGGCAGUCUACUACGUAUAUACUG